Molecule: long non-coding RNA, 234 nt
Filed under: Elaeis guineensis (African oil palm)
Lineage: Eukaryota; Viridiplantae; Streptophyta; Magnoliopsida; Arecales; Arecaceae
Description: long non-coding RNA (EGUI_LNC004738)
Source: RNAcentral
UAUGGAGCAUGACCAGCAUAUGUAUGCUGCUAUUAUGGUGUCUCAUCAAGCGUACUCUGAUAAGCCAUGCUGUUUUAUAGCUAUUUCUCACAAAUUUAUUUAACAAAAAAGAUAACUUUAAUUCUCUCAAUCGGACCAUGUAAAUAUUUAUCUAUAAAAAUAAUCUAGCAAGACUUAUAGGACAUUAAAGAGCUUUAGACAGGAUUGAUCAAUCCAAAUACAAAAUAUAUAAUG